AAUAGCCCUAAAUGCCACCAAUUUUAUAAUUUUUUGUCAAAAUACCACCCCUCCCCAAAAUUUUUAAAACUACCACCUAUAAAUACAUCUUUAUUGUAAACUGAUUGCACCCAUAUCACUUUUUCAGAAAUUGGGUUCUCUCUCAACUCUCUUGGCUCUGUCUCUCUCUUUAGCCUAGCUCUCUCUCUCUCUCUCUCUCUCUCUCUCUCUCUCUCCGACAUAGUCAUCUUCCUCCCUCAGCCAUCCAAGCUUAACUCCACAGUUCACAUCCACGAGGUACUGUUCACGUUCCUUUUCUUAGAAAUUUGGGGUUUUUGUGAAUUUGGUUUAUGAUGUAUGGAUUUGUAUGAAAUUGGUUUAGGGGUUUCUUCCAAAUUGGUUUGAUAGGAAGGUGAUGUUGUUGUUGCUGUCGCUGACAGACUGUUUUUCCUGGGUUGUUUUUGGUGGGUGUUACUGCGAAUGCUUACAAGGUUGCUGAUUCUCCUUCUAAGGUCUCUCUUUCUCUCUAUUUCGUCAAAUUCUAAGGUUUUUUUUGUUUUUUUUUGGGGUUACUUUUUUUUGAUUUCUUUUGCUAAUUGUAAUUGGGCCUUUGUUGCAGAGGUGGAUUUGUUUUGUGCCCAAAAGAUUGUGACUUUGUUGAAAGUUCGUAAAUGGAAAAGGCAGCUGCCCCCUACGGCUUGGAACGCUCAAUUCGGAGGGUCUGAAGAACAACCAUGUAGUAAGAAAGUUGGAGAAGCAUCAACAGAUUUGCACCCUUGACCAACAUAUUGAAGAGCAAUUUGGUGGUGGUUGUCUGUUGGCUUGUAUCUCAUCACAACCUAGAUAGUGGCUGUGCUGAUGGGAUGGGAAAACAUUGGACAAUGAGUUGGAGGUUGUUAAGGGAAUGAAGCUAGACAGGGGCUACAUAUCCUCUUAUUUCAUCACCAACCAGAACAAUCAGAAAUGUGAAUUGGAAAAUCCUCUAAUCAUAAUCCAUGAGAAGAAAAUCUCAAGUAUUAAUGCUGUGGUUAAAGUAUUGGAGUUGGU
Molecule: long non-coding RNA, 1026 nt
Organism: Prunus persica (peach)
Lineage: Eukaryota; Viridiplantae; Streptophyta; Magnoliopsida; Rosales; Rosaceae
Exons: 4
Source: RefSeq, a predicted model, not a curated record